This 783-nucleotide ribosomal RNA is filed under the name uncultured marine bacterium. RNAcentral describes it as "bacterial SSU rRNA". It matches the Rfam family "Bacterial small subunit ribosomal RNA", at positions 14 to 794 of the family's 1533-position model. The record is from RNAcentral.
UGAUCCUGGCUCAGAUUGAACGCUGGCGGCAGGCCUAACACAUGCAAGUCGAACGGUAACAGAAAGUGCUUGCACUUUGCUGACGAGUGGCGGACGGGUGAGUAAUGCUUAGGAACUUGCCUUUUGGUGGGGGAUAACAGUUGGAAACGACUGCUAAUACCGCAUAAUGUCUUUGGACCAAAGGAGGCUUCGGCUCUCACCAAGAGAGAGGCCUAAGUGAGAUUAGUUAGUUGGUGGGGUAAAGGCUUACCAAGACGACGAUCUCUAGCUGUUCUGAGAGGAAGAUCAGCCACACUGGGACUGAGACACGGCCCAGACUCCUACGGGAGGCAGCAGUGGGGAAUAUUGCACAAUGGGGGGAACCCUGAUGCAGCCAUGCCGCGUGUGUGAAGAAGGCCUUCGGGUUGUAAAGCACUUUCAGUUGUGAGGAAAGGUUGGUAGUUAAUACCUGCCAGCUGUGACGUUAACAACAGAAGAAGCACCGGCUAACUCCGUGCCAGCAGCCGCGGUAAUACGGAGGGUGCGAGCGUUAAUCGGAAUUACUGGGCGUAAAGCGCACGCAGGCGGUUUGUUAAGCGAGAUGUGAAAGCCCCGGGCUCAACCUGGGAGGGUCAUUUCGAACUGGCAGACUAGAGUUUUGGAGAGGGGAGUGGAAUUCCAGGUGUAGCGGUGAAAUGCGUAGAUAUCUGGAGGAACAUCAGUGGCGAAGGCGACUCCCUGGUCAAAGACUGACGCUCAUGUGCGAAAGUGUGGGUAGCGAACAGGAUUAGAUACCCUGGUAGU